RNAcentral lists this ribosomal RNA (658 nucleotides) under Pleurotus calyptratus. RNAcentral's name for it is "eukaryotic LSU rRNA". The stretch from base 230 to 383 matches the Rfam family "5.8S ribosomal RNA". Lineage: Eukaryota; Fungi; Basidiomycota; Agaricomycetes; Agaricales; Pleurotaceae. The record is from RNAcentral.
AUCAUUAAUGAAUAUAAAAGCUUUUGAAGUUGUUUGCUGGUCUCUAGGGAUAUUGUGCACGCUUCAUUAGUUCCCCUUUAUACCCCUGUGCACCUUUGAUAGAUUUCGGUUGGGUCAUGGUUUUUCGGAACCUUGUCCUAAACGGACUUCUAUACUAUACACACCCCAAAAUGUAUGUUAUAAUGAAUGUUUAUAUUACAAGGCCUAUGUGCCUUAUAAACUUUAAUACAACUUUCAACAACGGAUCUCUUGGCUCUCGCAUCGAUGAAGAACGCAGCGAAAUGCGAUAAGUAAUGUGAAUUGCAGAAUUCAGUGAAUCAUCGAAUCUUUGAACGCACCUUGCGCCCUUUGGUAUUCCGAAGGGCAUGCCUGUUUGAGUGUCAUUAAAUUCUCAAACUCUACACUUUGUUCUUUGAACGAGGUUUUGUAGCUGUUUGGAUUGUUGGGGGUUGCUGGCGUCUUUUUAUUGAAGUCGGCUCCUCUUAAAUGCAUUAGCGGGACUUUGUUGCCUCUGCGCAUAGUGUGAUAAUUAUCUACGCUAGACGCAUGCAAUCAUUAUUAACGGUCCAGCUUCCUAAUCGUCCAAUAGAAUGGACAACUCUUUGACAAUUUGACCUCAAAUCAGGUAGGACUACCCGCUGAACUUAAGCAUAUCAUA